GACGAACACUGGCGGCGUGCUUAACACAUGCAAGUCGAACGGAGUGGCGAACGGGUUAGUAACACGUGGGUGACCUGCCCUGCACUUCGGGAUAAGCCUGGGAAACUGGGUCUAAUACCGGAUAGUGUGGGAUGGGCCCGCGGCCUAUCAGCUUGUUGGUGGGGUAGUGGCCUACCAAGGCGACGACGGGUAGCCGGCCUGAGAGGGCGACCGGCCACAUUGGGACUGAGGUAAGGCCCAAACGCCUACGGGAGGCAGCAGUGGGGAAUAUUGCACAAUGGGGGAAACCGUGAGGAAGCAACGCCGCGGGCGGGAUAACGGGCUGCGGGUUGUAAACCGCGUUCAGCCAUGCCGCGGUAGUGGCAGAAGAAGCAACGGCUAACUACGUGCCAGCAGCCGCGGUAAUAC
This 408-nucleotide ribosomal RNA is filed under the name uncultured bacterium. Its description in RNAcentral is "partial 16S ribosomal RNA". It matches the Rfam family "Bacterial small subunit ribosomal RNA", at positions 28 to 526 of the family's 1533-position model. The record is from RNAcentral.